CAACAAAGUUAAUCAGACACAUAUUUAAUGAAAUGCAUAAUUUUGUGCUGUAUAAUAAUUAGGAACAGAUGGUAAACCAUUCACCCAAAUGACUCUUAAUAAGUCAUUUAUUAAUUACUACGUUUCAAACAAUCAAACCAAGAAUUUUGAGGGUCAACUUCAGGGAUAGGGGUAGGGAAAUCAGGAUGAGUGAGGAUUCUGCCCUGAUUCCUCUGAAAACACUCUGGUUAGGGGAGCCCAAGGCUCUUUCUUUUACAGCAGAUAGUGAUACAUACCUGGGAUGUGUGGUGUCAGCUUCCUGGUGACAAUUGCAUCCACCCCCCCAAGAGCCAAGACAGCAAAGGCAAGUACUUGAAAAUUGUAGUUUGUCCUUUUCUCCAAGAGACAUGCAAGUGAUGUGGAUUUAAGGGAGCGUUGUGCAAGGUCACCUGCCUCACUUUUCCCUCCAGAGCCAUGGGGGUCCAGUGGCCAGAUGUAGAUCAAGAUGACUGGAGAUGGCCCUGGAUACAGGGGGAGACCUCAGCCUAUUUAAAUUAAGGUCUUCAAGAGGUCUCAGUUUGACUGAGGCUGUACCCAUUCAGUAAUUUAGGUAGCAAUUGAGGCAAAGAAUCUCCUAUUUUACCUACUCAGAAAAAAAAAAAAGUCAAGAGUUCAGUAUCAAUAUGGCAGAUCUCCAGGUGAAAUAAUCCAGGGAUCUGUCCUUGGUCCUGUGCUGUUUAAUAUUUGGAUGAAGUCAAAGAUAGUAUGACUACCUGCAGAGAACACAAACUACUAACACAUUGGAUGGCAGAAAUAGAUGGGAGCUUUCUGGUAAACCUAAUAAAUUAAACUAAACAAAGGUAAAAGUCUUGCACUUAGGUAUAAAAAAAAUUCAGCUACACAAGUAUAAGAUGAAAGAAGUCAUGGAUAAACUAGAAAAUGUUCUGAAAAAGAUCUGAGGGGUUUGGAAGGAAGCACUGUAAGUUCAGUGAGGCAACUGUGUUGAAGGCAGUCAAAAAAGUUAAUGUGAUUUUGUGCUGUAUUGAGACAUAUACUUUUCAGGAAUUUUUUGUCAUUUAUCCAUUUAAAGUUGCGUCUGAUUCUCCAUGACUCCAUUUUGGAGUUUUCUUGACAGAGAUACUGGAGUGGUUUGCCAUUUCCUUCUCCAGCUCAUUUUGAAAAUAGUAGGUAAGAUAGUCCCACUGUAUUGCUUUAGAUUUCAUCUGUAGUAUUUUGUUUAGUUAUGAUACUACUGUUUAAGAAGAACACUAAUGUCCACAGGAGGGCAAUUGGAUUAAUGAAGGGUCUUGAAUCUAUGACAUAUAAGGAUUAGGUGAAAAACACAGCCAUGUUUAGAGAAGAUUCACAAGGUAUAAGAUAAUUGUCCUUAAAUAUUUGAGGGGCUAUAAUGUGGGGGAGUGAUAAGGUUUGAUUCCAGAGUACAGGAUCAGUAGUACUAGAUACUACUCAAUGUAGCAGUGGGUAGAAAUUGCAAAUAGGCCAAUUUAGACUUGAUAAUUAUCAGGAAAAACUUCCUAACAUUGAAAUGUCCAAAAAUAGAACAAGUUAUUUCAAGAAAGAGAUUCCUCUUUGGAAGUUUUCAUGCAGAAGAGUGAAGGGUAUGUGGUAGUUGUGUGUAUGGACUGGACAAGAUGGUCUCUAGUCUCAUUUAACUCUCAAAUCCUGUGAUUCUGGGAUGGACCUUUCUUCUUGUAUAAGAAACUGGCAAACUUCACUGAUCAGUGAAGCAGCUUGGAUUUCAAGUACAAAUAGAAAGUUGGUGAACCCAAAAAGAGAGAAAAGACCAACUUCUUUCUAAGGGAUUUAGUAAUUUUAGGGGCCACAAAGCUUCUUCUAGGGAUUAUGAAAAGGAGAGUAAACUAAAUGGUUUUCAUUUAAGAAUUCUUCACAUUUUAGUCUGAAAAUCUACUAGAGAUUCAUUUGGGUCAACAAAUCAUUCUUCACAGAGGGUAGUAGUCAUUUCUUAUUCAUACCUUAGCAUAAAUUAGUCUUGAACAACUUGUUUCCCUUGUAACAAUCAAAGAUACUGAAAUUUAAGGUAAGGGGUAAAGGUGAGAGAGAAAUAUACUUCUGGACCACAGAAACACUGGAAGAGAGGUCAUGAGUAUACAGAAAAUGUAGUAUGAAAAAUGGUAGGCAAACAGAAGACAGGAUAAGGGCACCUUGUGCAUGAGGGUUGGGGAAGGCAAAAGAAAAAAGAUACCAGGAUACAGGAGGCAGGAUGAGGACAGCUGGGAAGGAGGCAAAAAAGAGCUGGGAAGAAAACUCAGAAAGGGAGGCAGAAAGGGAAACAGGAAGGCUGAUGGAAAAAGAAUAGGGCAUAGAAAGAGAAGUGAAAAAAGGGGAAUCCAGGAUUGUGUUUAGCACACAGAAGAUGUGCUCAUGGUAUUUUCUGAUCCGCCCAGCCAAGCAUUAAUGUAAGUUAAAGGGAUCCAUGCUAAUCUGCCUUUCCUCUGACUCUUGGCCUACAACUUGUUCCAUUGUUCUUUCUGAUCAUACUAUUUCCAACCUUUCUAAUACAUACUACUUUAGACCCUUUGUUUUCAAAGUAUUCUCCCAAUCCUGUCUCAAGAUCACUCAGUCUUGAAGAGUCCUUUCUCCUACGAUGUUUGAAAUAGAUAAGGCAGGGGAUAUAUGUAAGCAGCAAAAAAGCCUGUGGUUCUGGCCAUGGAAGAAGAGAUAUAGGAGUUUGUAAAGAAACAUAUGGGAUCAGAGAUUUAAAGGCAUCUUUCAAUCCCUUAAUUUUUACAGAUGAGGAAACUCGGACCCAAAGAGAUUAAAUGAUUUAUCCAAUAAAAAGUUAUAUGGAUAAUAAGUGGCAGAAUUUAUACUUAGGUCUUUUGGCUCCAAAUUCAAGAUGGUAUGCACAGUGGUUAGUAUCUACCUAUGUGACCAAGAAUCUCCUUUUCAAAUUUCUUAUUUU
Molecule: long non-coding RNA, 2923 nt
Organism: Sarcophilus harrisii (Tasmanian devil)
Lineage: Eukaryota; Metazoa; Chordata; Mammalia; Dasyuromorphia; Dasyuridae
Source: Ensembl